GAGACAGGCCUCAGCCCUCGUGAAGCUCGUUGGGCAGAAUUGUUGAAGGCAUUAACCCUUUCAUACCUGCUCCUUCUACCUGGGGAGGGGAACAAAAACCCCGUCAUCUAGCAUCCAUGGGGAUUGAGGGGGCAGUCUUACUUGUAAAGAUAUUAUGCUUUGGUGAGAAAGACGUCGAUGAAUGCAUAAAGGAUUCCUUUAUCUAAACAAAAGUUUUGAGAUUUUGUUGGUUUUCUUUUUGUUUUUAGAUUGAGUCAGAAGCGUUGUGAUGGACUGAUCAUCAGAGGGAGGGAAAUAACAGUCUCAACUGCUACGUUUAUUCGUCACAACUGAGCCAUGCAGUUAUACAUAUUGUAAUACAUACACAUUUAGCUGGAAUAUGUAUGUUGUACCCACCCUGUCACACGGUAUAUAUACAGCCAGACGUUACCCGCGUGCGUCUGUGAGUGUCGCUCAGUAAACCCGACCACGUGAUUUUUCUUAAAAAGGCGUUUUCGCAUGGGCACGAAUUAGCUAUAACUAGUACUACAACCACCACCACUACAUUAACUAUAACUAGUACUACGACAACCACCACUACAGCAACAACGAAUUGUGGACGUUCCACCGACCUCCCACCCACCUCGCCACCCCCCUAGCGACCCGCCGGCGGCAGCUGCAUGGUCAACACAGGAGAAACAUGUCCAGCAAGGCUGGAGCCACAUUCUCUCAUUGAUUUUCCCUUUUGGCCCGAAAGAGGUUUGGCGACAUUCCUUGAUCACUAGAGAACGACCUUCCGCACUCUCCUCUCAUCUUAAAGCAGUGCCAUGGGCGACAUGCCAGAGCUGACGAUUUAAGCCCCCUUUUUAUCAUUUUUAUUUUGUUUUGUUUCUUUGUUUUCCUUUUAUCGCAUGCAUUCUCCCUGGGCACUGCGGCUGACCGUUCGCAAAGCGACCGCAACAAUCAACAUUUACGUUUCUAGCGGCACGUAAUCCAAGCAGCACGAUGCUGGUGUGCAGGUGGCGCCACCUGUGGUCGAGUUGGAGAUUUUUCUUGUUACUUCUACAGUUUGUGGUCUGUCCCCACAUCUGCGGUCACCUCCGUUGACCUGCUCGGUGAAGAGUUGAUCCCAGGAAGAGGACUGACUCAGCUGCAGUGGAAGCCACCGUCCAGCAGAUGACUUGGUCAGACAUAGUGCGCAUGCGCAGAGAAAAAGGGGUGAGGGAGGAGUGAGAGGGAGGAAGGGAACUCUCUGCUGUCGGAGUCGACGCUUGCUGUGGUGUAGCAUUGGUCGCCAGCGCGCAAGCAGUGACAGCAAGGUACGGGUGGCGGGUAGUCUUGGCUGUAAGCGUGCGGUGAACACAAACCUGACAUUCCGCCACAGGUGUGGUGUCCGGCUACCUGUCCGAUACCUGGAUUCUGUCUUCGUUGCUUUCAUCCCAACCCGCAACAACUCACCCCUUGCUCCUCACCGAAGUCGUCUGCGAGACUCGCAUGUCCAUCCACCAUGACGGACUGCUGACGACAUUCACGUCCAACGACACAUCGACAGCAGCGGCGGUUGUGUUGAGCGUUGCUGUCGCCGCAGGCAGCUGAUCACCUCACCGGCUGCUGUUCCUGCGUCAGGAGACUGGUGGAGCAGACGUGUCUGAAGUCUGUUGACAAGCAACCAGCUGUGUGAUGGCGCUCCACCCGGGUUCCAGUGUCCGUAGGCUGUGGGACUCCCUGUCCCAUCCUUGCACCUGCGGCUGCUUCUUGUUCCUCAUGGCCGUCCUCCACCAAACACAGGUCGUAGCUCAGACAACGGCGGAUGUGUCGCCACAAGACAGCAAAGCAUCCCAGCAAGAAGAGAGAGAUAUGAUGAAAGGGUUGGCCGCUGGCUUUGGGUUCUUCUUCGGCAUUCUACUGUUAGUGUGCGUG
Molecule: long non-coding RNA, 1899 nt
Filed under: Pomacea canaliculata
Lineage: Eukaryota; Metazoa; Mollusca; Gastropoda; Architaenioglossa; Ampullariidae
Description: uncharacterized LOC112571023
Source: RNAcentral